RNAcentral lists this ribosomal RNA (160 nucleotides) under Simsia calva. Its description in RNAcentral is "5.8S ribosomal RNA". It matches the Rfam family "5.8S ribosomal RNA". Rfam says of the family: 5.8S ribosomal RNA (5.8S rRNA) is a component of the large subunit of the eukaryotic ribosome. It is transcribed by RNA polymerase I as part of the 45S precursor that also contains 18S and 28S rRNA. Functionally, it is thought that 5.8S rRNA may be involved in ribosome translocation. The record is from RNAcentral. Lineage: Eukaryota; Viridiplantae; Streptophyta; Magnoliopsida; Asterales; Asteraceae.
CGACUCUCGGCCACCGGAUAUCUCGGCUCACGCAUCGAUGAAGAACGUAGCCAAAUGCGAUACUUGGUGUGAAUUGCAGAAUCCCGUGAACCAUCGAGUUUUUGAACGCAAGUUGCGCCCGAAGCCUUCUGGUUGAGGGCACGUCUGCCUGGGCGUCACG